Molecule: unclassified non-coding RNA, 343 nt
Filed under: soil metagenome
Description: partial contains 5.8S ribosomal RNA, internal transcribed spacer 2, and large subunit ribosomal RNA
Rfam family: 5.8S ribosomal RNA (bases 1-120)
Source: RNAcentral
GAUGAAGAACGCAGCGAAAUGCGAUAAGUAAUGUGAAUUGCAGAAUUCAGUGAAUCAUCGAAUCUUUGAACGCACAUUGCGCCCGCCAGCAUUCUGGCGGGCAUGCCUGUUCGAGCGUCAUUUCAACCCUCGAGCCCCCCCGGGGGCCUCGGUGUUGGGGGACGGCACACCAGCCGCCCCCGAAAUGCAGUGGCGACCCCGCCGCAGCCUCCCCUGCGUAGUAGCACACACCUCGCACCGGAGCGCGGAGGCGGUCACGCCGUAAAACGCCCAACUUUCUUAGAGUUGACCUCGGAUCAGGUAGGAAUACCUGCUGAACUUAAGCAUAUCAAUAAGCGGAGGA